Molecule: ribosomal RNA, 480 nt
Filed under: uncultured bacterium
Lineage: Bacteria
Description: bacterial SSU rRNA
Rfam family: Bacterial small subunit ribosomal RNA
Source: RNAcentral
AUGAACGGCUAGCGGCAGGCUUAACACAUGCAAGUCGAGGGGUAUAGGCUUCGGACCUAGAGACCGGCGCACGGGUGCGUAACGCGUAUGCAAUCUACCUUUCACAGAGGGAUAGCCCAGAGAAAUUUAGGAUUAAUAACCUCAUAGUAUUAUAGAAUGGCAUCAUUUUAUAAUUAAAGUCACAACGGUGAAAGAUGAGCAUGCGUCCCAUUAGCUAGUUGGUAUGGUAACGGCAUACCAAGGCAACGAUGGGUAGGGGUCCGUGAGAGGGAGAUCCCCCACACUGGUACUGAGACACGGACCAGACUCCUACGGGAGGCAGCAGUGAGGAAUAUUGGUCAAUGGGCGCAAGCCUGAACCAGCCAUGCCGCGUGCAGGAUGACGGUCCUAUGGAUUGUAAACUGCUUUUGCACAGGAAGAAACAACGCUACGUGUAGCGUCUUGACGGUACUGUGAGAAUAAGGAUCGGCUAACUCCGUG